Molecule: long non-coding RNA, 683 nt
Organism: Ostrinia furnacalis (Asian corn borer)
Lineage: Eukaryota; Metazoa; Arthropoda; Insecta; Lepidoptera; Crambidae
Exons: 3
Source: RefSeq, a predicted model, not a curated record
UGCCAAAAUAAAAGCAGAAGAGUGUUGUAUAAGUUUCCCUUUUGACGACUUUAUUUUUUUGACCGUGGUCCUCGAUGCUUCUCUUCCCGAUGACCCUGGCAUACUGUCGAACUACGAAUCUCACUCAACCAAUGACCAAUGGAUCACUUUCGGACAUCGAACCUUGCCUAAACGCCGACCACGGCUUACGUAUGGACUCCGACCCGAGCCCCAAUGUUAACCCCAGCCCGAUUUUGGAUAAUGCAACCAGAAUUCCUCAAUCUCAUGAGGAACCUAUACCUAUGAUAUGUAUCAAUUGUAUAGCUGACAUGAUGCAGAGGAGGCGACAUAGCCUAGAGCUUAUUAAGUUCAGUUGGUUAUAAUGUCAGUGGAUGACUCCUCAGCUGAUUGAUAACAGCAGUGUAUGUUGUCACUCAUGUUGGACUGUGGCCACGGUGUGGCUCUGCACCAAUCAAGGACAAAUAAUAUUUCAAAUGAAGAAGCAACCACUAGCACUGGUCACAGUUAACGUGGAUUAUCUUUGUUACAAAUAUGUUCCAUAGACUGCAUAUUAACACGGAAAGAGAAUCACAUAUUCGAAAAUAAUGGAACAGAUUUCACCUUGUCAACUGCGGGGAUCUGACCAAAUAUGUCAUCCCUGAUGACAGUGAGCUGAUCGAGCUGCUACACAUGCUGUGGAGCCC